UUAAGGAAGUGAAAUGUUUAUUUUAUAUAUACACAUGGUUAUUUAGGAGACAAUGCAAGCUGGCAGAUGCUAGGCAUUGUAUAUGUCACUGUAUAGAGAUCAUUGAUAUUUUAUGAUUGGUUAAUGAGUGAUCAUGUGAUUAUAGGCUUGUAUGUGAUUGGUUUACAUACCAAUGAUGGCUUGGUAUAAUUAUAGUGGGAAACUUGAAUUUAGUUAAGUUUUGUACAACACUUCAAGACUGAAGUUCUCUCUUCCGGCAAGGGUGCCGUGAAUGCCUCUGUUGAUUGCUGAGUUGACAUUAAAGUUAAGAUUUGAAAUUACAGUAUAUCUGUGUUGGCUGAAUUGUUUGAAGUACAUUGGUUUGCUGGAGUUGAUGACCAAGAAGUGUGCUAAUUGUGUUUAAAUCAAGUACAGUACAACCAGAAGACGUGAAGUACAGAAGUCAGCUACAGUAUAGUAAAACAAAUACUAUACAUCGUCACAACUUAUAUACAACGUUACACAGCUGUAGAGUGACAUCUUAUCUUUCAAAUAUAUAAAUGUGAAACUAGCGGAAAAAUGAGGAAAACGCGUGCGGAAAUACAAAAGGCGUACAAAGAGAGGAAGAAAUUAAAUGACCCUUCAUCUCUGGAAAAUUAAUGUAAACAACAAGCUGAUUAUCGUGUACCUGUUUAUUGAUGAUUUGACAGAUAUGUUACCAUACAUGUUCCUAACUUUGGAUCAUAAUAUGUAUAUUCCAGUAGAAUUAUUUCUGAUUCUUAUCUUUUCAUCGGGAUGAUAAUGUCCGAGUGCGUGUUUGUAUGGAAAAUAAAUCCAAAAUGACAACCUUCUGGGUUAUAUAUAGCAACUGCUGCUAAUUUGACUCUUCCAAUCCAGAGACAAAAACUGUUGACAGUGGUCAUUAUGAAUAGAAAAUGUGGGUUUUUUCUUGUUUGACCAUUAAUGUCAUUAAAAAAAUGUCCUUACAGUGACUGCACAUCACUAAAUGCAGUUCUUAACUGCAAACUUACAUUCAUAUCCAAUGACUAUAUCUGAAACCAACCAUUUUAAAGAGAUAAACUUGUGGUAACGUAUCUGUUAGUUUAUUAAAGACAGCUAAAAAGUGUCAAUUUUUAAAUGCUUUUCCUCAAAAAUCGGGUAUUGUUAAAAAUCGCCCAUGCAUUGUUUCGUGUUGUGCAACUAUUAAAGUUUAUAAUUUUGAAA
This is a long non-coding RNA of Anneissia japonica, 1203 nucleotides long. RefSeq lists it as uncharacterized. The transcript is spliced from 2 exons. The record is from RefSeq and is a predicted model, not a curated record. NCBI's taxonomy places the organism in Eukaryota, Metazoa, Echinodermata, Crinoidea, Comatulida, Comatulidae.